UGCGUAGACGGUAUGUUAAGUUCGUUGUUAAAGGCUCCGGCCUAACCGGAGUACCGCAAUGAAAACUGGCGUGCUAGAGGGUGAGAGAGAGAAGUGGAAUUCCCGGAGUAGCGGUAAAAUGCGUGGAUCUCGGGAGGAACACCAAUGGCGAAGGCAGCUUCUUGGCUCAUUCCUGACGUUGAGGCACGAAAGCGUGGGGAGCAAACA
Molecule: ribosomal RNA, 207 nt
Filed under: uncultured bacterium
Lineage: Bacteria
Description: partial 16S ribosomal RNA
Rfam family: Bacterial small subunit ribosomal RNA
Source: RNAcentral